UACGUAGGUGGCAAGCGUUGUCCGGAAUUACUGGGCGUAAAGGAUGCGUAGGCGGCCUCUUAAGUGGGAUGUGAAAUGCCGGGGCUUAACCCCGGAGGUGCAUUCCAUACUGGGAGGCUAGAGUGCAGGAGAGGAAAGCGGAAUUCCCAGUGUAGCGGUGAAAUGCGUAGAGAUUGGGAGGAACACCAGUGGCGAAGGCGGCUUUCUGGACUGUAACUGACGCUGAGGCAUGAAAGUGUGGGGAGCAAACAGGAUUAGAUACCCUGGUAGUCCACACCGUAAACGAUGGGCACUAGGUGUAGGGGGCGUAGCCCUCUGUGCCGCAGUUAACACAUUAAGUGCCCCGCCUGGGGAGUACGAUCGCAAGAUUAAAACUCAAAGGAAUUGACGGGGGCCCGCACAAGCAGCGGAGCAUGUGGUUUAAUUCGAAGCAACGCGAAGAACCUUACCAGGACUUGACAUCCACGGAAUCCUUAAGAGAUUAGGGAGUGCCCUUCGGGGAACCGUGAGACAGGUGGUGCAUGGUU
Molecule: ribosomal RNA, 527 nt
Filed under: uncultured bacterium
Lineage: Bacteria
Description: bacterial SSU rRNA
Rfam family: Bacterial small subunit ribosomal RNA
Source: RNAcentral